This 457-nucleotide RNase P RNA is filed under the name Bacteroidaceae bacterium. Its description in RNAcentral is "RNase P RNA component class A". It matches the Rfam family "Bacterial RNase P class A". Rfam says of the family: Ribonuclease P (RNase P) is a ubiquitous endoribonuclease, found in archaea, bacteria and eukarya as well as chloroplasts and mitochondria. Its best characterised activity is the generation of mature 5'-ends of tRNAs by cleaving the 5'-leader elements of precursor-tRNAs. Lineage: Bacteria; Pseudomonadati; Bacteroidota; Bacteroidia; Bacteroidales; Bacteroidaceae. The record is from RNAcentral.
GCAGCCGGACGGUCUGUCGCUGGCGACUCUACGGAGUCGAAAGAGGAAAGUCCGGGCAGCAUAGGGCAUCCCACUUCCUAAUGUAGAAGCAGUCCGCGAGGGUUGAGUAAUGCAGAAGAAAAUAACAACAGCUUCGGCUGAAAUGGUGAGAAGGUGAGGUAAGAGCUCACCAGCGGCAUGGUGACAUGUCGGCUGUGCAUCUUGGGAGCUGCAAGUUCAUGUAAACCACCCGACAGAGGGUAGCCCGCCCGAGUUGACGAAGGUCUGAGCAGCAAUGCAACAGGGCCGGGGCUCAUACGGUGGAGGGUAGAACGCUUGAGCCAUGAGGUGACUCAUGGAGUAGAUAAAUGACAGACACAUGUCUUAAUUGAAAAUUGAAAAUUGAAAGUUGAAAAAUUGGAAAUUAGAAAUUGACAAUUGGCAUGAACAGAACCCGGCUUAUAGCCCGACUGCUUUC